AUGACUGCGAAAGACACGGCCCCCGG
This 26-nucleotide small RNA is filed under the name Bombyx mori (domestic silkworm). Its description in RNAcentral is "ovarian small RNA-12567". The record is from RNAcentral. Lineage: Eukaryota; Metazoa; Arthropoda; Insecta; Lepidoptera; Bombycidae.